Molecule: transfer RNA, 76 nt
Filed under: Nanobdellota archaeon
Lineage: Archaea; Nanobdellati; Nanobdellota
Also listed under: 1 other name
Description: tRNA-Val
Rfam family: tRNA
About the family: Transfer RNA (tRNA) molecules are approximately 80 nucleotides in length. Their secondary structure includes four short double-helical elements and three loops (D, anti-codon, and T loops).
Source: RNAcentral
GGGCCAGUGAUCUAGUGGCUAUGAUGGCUCCCUUACAAGGAGCAUGUCGAAGGUUCGAGUCCUUCCUGGCCCACCA